UGGACUACUCGGGUUUCUAAUCCUGUUCGCUCCCCACGCUUUCGUCCAUCAGCGUCAAUCGUUUGUUAGUAACCUGCCUUCGCAAUUGGUAUUCCAUGUAAUAUCUAAGCAUUUCACCGCUACACUACAUAUUCUAGUUACUUCACAAAAAUUCAAGUCUUACAGUAUCAAUGGCAGUUCCAUCGUUGAGCGAUGGGCUUUCACCACUGACUUAUAAGACCGCCUACGGACCCUUUAAACCCAAUGAUUCCGGAUAACGCUUGGAUCCUCCGUAUUACCGCGGCUGCUGGCAC
RNAcentral lists this unclassified non-coding RNA (293 nucleotides) under uncultured Flavobacteriaceae bacterium. RNAcentral describes it as "contains 16S-23S intergenic spacer region". Lineage: Bacteria; Pseudomonadati; Bacteroidota; Flavobacteriia; Flavobacteriales; Flavobacteriaceae. The record is from RNAcentral.